This 523-nucleotide long non-coding RNA is filed under the name Homo sapiens (human). Its description in RNAcentral is "non-protein coding lnc-MANEA-15:1". Lineage: Eukaryota; Metazoa; Chordata; Mammalia; Primates; Hominidae. The record is from RNAcentral.
GGCUAUAGACAAAAUAUUUGAAAACUACUAGCCAGAAUUUUUCUAAUUUUAUGAACUAUGUUGAACCCAUGCCCAAGAAUUUCGAGAAUUUUUUUUUUUUUUUUUUUUUUUUGCUAGCAAAUAGCCAAUUGUGAAGGAUCUACUUUUCUCAGUUUUUAGUUCCAAAGUCCCAUCAAUCAUACCAGUCCUGAGGGGAAAAAGCAUCGUGUGUACACUAACAUUUUCAAGCCCAAAGCUGUGUUGUUGCUCUCUCUAGCAGUACCAUCUGCUCUGAGCCAACUUGAAAGCCAAGGGACUCCAGUAAACCUUCACGUCAAAAACUUCCCACUAUGCAAGGAAAUCAUCAUAAAGGAUCUGUGUGAAAUGUGAGCCACAUACUUCAAAAAGAAGGCAGCAAUGUUUGGAAUAACACCAUAGAAUUCAAACAGAGAGCCUAUUACGAAAUUCACAAAGAAACAGCUAGACCAGGAGGUGGCACAAUCUAAAGAAAACUGCAAAAAUUAAAGGAGUAUAAAAAAGAAAA